GCCCAAGUUGCGACAGCUCAUUCAGUAGAGCGUGAGACUCUCAGGAUUUCUCAUGGUUGUGGGUUCGAGCUCCAUGUUGGGCA
Molecule: non-coding RNA, 83 nt
Organism: Podarcis lilfordi (Lilford's wall lizard)
Lineage: Eukaryota; Metazoa; Chordata; Lepidosauria; Squamata; Lacertidae
Source: the annotation of a GenBank genome assembly